GAUGAACGCUGGCGGCGUGCCUAAUACAUGCAAGUCGAGCGAACAGACGAGGAGCUUGCUCCUCUGACGUUAGCGGCGGACGGGGGAGUAACACGUGGAUAACCUACCUAUAAGACUGGGAUAACUUCGGGAAACCGGAGCUGAUACCGGAUAAUAUAUUGAACCGCAUGGUUCAAUAGUGAAAGACGGUUUUGCUGUCACAUAUAGAUGGAUCCGCGCCGCAUUAGCUAGUUGGUAAGGUAACGGCUUACCAAGGCGACGUAGCGUAGCCGCCCUGAGAGGGUGGUCGGCCACACUGGAACUGAGACACGGUCCAGGCUCCCUCGGGAGGCACCAUUAGGGAAUCUUCCGCAAUCGGCGAAAGACUGACGGAGCAACGCCGCGUGAGUGAUGAAGGUCUUCGGAUCGUAAAACGAUGUUAUUAGGGAAGAACAAAUGUGUAAGUAACUAUGCACGUCUUGACGGUACCUAAUCAGAAAGCCACGGCUAACUACGUG
This 497-nucleotide ribosomal RNA is filed under the name uncultured bacterium. RNAcentral's name for it is "partial 16S ribosomal RNA". It matches the Rfam family "Bacterial small subunit ribosomal RNA", at positions 28 to 507 of the family's 1533-position model. The record is from RNAcentral.